RNAcentral lists this long non-coding RNA (1706 nucleotides) under Sus scrofa (pig). Its description in RNAcentral is "lncRNA (ENSSSCG00000058275.1)". The record is from RNAcentral. Lineage: Eukaryota; Metazoa; Chordata; Mammalia; Artiodactyla; Suidae.
AAUAAGAAAUGACUUUACAACAAUUCCCUGGAGACCAGUCUCUCCAUGGACAACCCUUCCAAGUGUCUCCCAACCCUUCAGCCAGAAAGUCCCUUUUUAUAUUUAAAUCCACUUCUAGAGAAUCAGGGAAGAGAAAGCAGGAAAAUGGAAAUGCAGUUCCGUUGACUGCAGGGCCCCAGUUCUUGUUAUUCUUUGUUAUUUUUAACAUGAGGUUCAUGGAGGUGGGGUGCAGAGGUCAGGGCUGGAGAUGCUGCCAUCGGUCAUGAGUCCAGCAGGAGGCCUGAGGGAGCCCAGAGUUUCCUGUGCUGAGUCUCAACCCUGGAAGAGUUCCCAUCGUGGCACAGCGGAAACAAAUCCAACUAGGAACCAUGAGGUUGCAGGUUUGAUCCCUGGCCUCACUCAGUGGGUUAAGGAUCUGGCAUUGCUGUGAGCUGUGGUGUAGGUCACAGACAAAGCUUGGAUCUGGCGUUGCUGUGGUUCUGGCAUAGGCUGGCAGCCCUAGCCUAGGAAACUCCAUAUGCCACAUGUGUGGCCCUAAAAAGCCAAAAAAAAAAAAAAAGAAGAGGAUGGCAGAAAGUUCAGGGCAACGUCACCCCUUCUAGGGAGAAAAGCCAAGUGCCCAGGGAUCUCAGGCCCCCGUGGACCGGGGUUCAAGUUCUCAUUCAGAUACCUUUUUGCUGCGGCUCUCAGGGAAAGCAGUGGAGCUCACUCAGCCUCAGUCUUCCCCUCCAGGACAGUGGGGGUAAAUAGUGCAACCCCUCUUCCUAGCAGGGUGUCAUGGAGAGCAAGGGAGACAUCCCACAUGAAAGCAUCUGACACAGGUAAGCUCUGAGAUGCUAGUUCUUCCUGCCUGGUCUGAUGAUUGAGGUCAAGGUCAUUAUCACAAGCAUAGGGUAGGGCAUGGUAACUUCUGCAACUCGUACUGGCUCUUUGAGAAGACAGGAGCUGAGAAGAUGCUUUCUUUCCAGGCUCCAGCCCUGCAGGUGAGUCUACAUCUUUGAUUCUACCUAUACCUCAGGCUCAGCCCCACUCCAGAUACGACCGGAUUCCUUUGCUCAAGAUCUGCACCAUACAAUUUAGUAGCCACAUGUGGUUACGUGUAGCUAUUUAAAUAUAAAUUAAUUCUAUUUAAAUGAAAUAAAAAAUUCAGCUCUUUGGUGGCACUGACCACGUGUCAAAUGCUCAGUGGCCACGCGCGGCUGCCAUCAAGGACAUCGCAACCUUGCCCUCAUCCUAGAAGGAUCCGAUAUGCAGGGCUGUUCCAGCGCCUUGGAGAACAGCCUUAGACUGUAAAGGAUUCUGGUGGCCAUUUGCAAAAGCAUCGUCUCAUUUCUACAAUAGCACCUUUUCUAUUUGAAAACAAAAAUCGGCAGAAAUGCCAUCUCAUGUCUGGCAUAUUUGGGGGGUAUGCUACAAGCAAGCAGGCCCCUAGGCCCCUGCCAAUAAAGGGAGUUCCCAUCAUGGCUCAGUGGGUUACAAACCUGACCAGCAUCCAUGAGGACGCAGGUUCAAUCCCUGGCCUCACACAGUGGGUUAAGGAUCUGGUGUUGCCAUGAGCUAUGGUGUAGGUCACAGACACGGCUUGGAUCCUGUGUUGUUGUGGUUAUGGCAAAGGCCAGCAGCUGAAGCUCUGAUUUGACCCCUAGCCUGGGAACCUCUGCGUGCCAUGCAUGCGGCCCUAAAAAGCCAAAAAAAAAAAAAAAAAA